Long non-coding RNA from Lytechinus variegatus (green sea urchin), 409 nucleotides. RefSeq lists it as uncharacterized. NCBI's taxonomy places the organism in Eukaryota, Metazoa, Echinodermata, Echinoidea, Temnopleuroida, Toxopneustidae. The transcript is spliced from 3 exons. The record is from RefSeq and is a predicted model, not a curated record.
GCAAAAUUGUGCCAGCUCGAGAACGGGGUACGGAUCCCGUGUCUAUAAUUUCUGGACCACUACCAUCGAAACAAUCUUCAAAUGUCACAUGGACGAAGUAUGAUCUCAAUGUCAUUCCUACCAAAGAGGAAAUCCAUGACGUAUUGGUUGUUCGUCCUGGGGAUCACCUUCUCAAUGAUGCAGACAAGAAGAUGAUGGUGCCGCCGAUGACGGACACGACGACGAUGAUGCCGCCAAAGACGUUGCCGAAGACCUUCCACGACCGCGUGUCUUUGAUGGGCAUAAUCUCGAAGACGGCUUCGGAAUCGAUCGGGGUGUCGGGUCUGAAGUAUGCCGUGAGUGCCCGGGAACACCAAGGAAGAAGGUGGAUCUGGAUCGGUUUGAUAGCAUUUUGUCUGAGUAUCGCCAG